UAAAAUGAUCAAAACAUAAAAAACUACAUGACAUACCGAUAGAACAAUUUUCGUGUAUGUUACAUUCGAAGGAAGAAAAUCAUGACUAAAAUUAUCAAACUUUUUUCUAUUAUGAUCAUAUUUCUUUUCCCAAUUCAUGUUGUGUUCGAAUCUAUUAAUCCGUACCAACACUGUAAAGUUGACGUGGAUUGUCCAGGGCAAAAAUGUUCUCCUAGUAAUGUUCCUGUGUGCAUUUUUGGAUUCUGCUACUGCGUUGCUCCCUCCAUCUUAAAAUGAUACUCUGGUACAAAUGCAGAUUAUUUUCCUCGUGGCCAUUAAAAUUAAUCGACGGAGCUUUGCAUGUGAAUGAAGUAUUGACAUGUGGUUAUAUGUAUUUUAAUAGUCUUGUUUUUUAAACAAAGUUCAAUAAUUUUUCAGAAUAUUAUAUAUAUAUAUAU
This is a long non-coding RNA of Trifolium pratense (red clover), 437 nucleotides long. RefSeq lists it as uncharacterized. The transcript is spliced from 3 exons. NCBI's taxonomy places the organism in Eukaryota, Viridiplantae, Streptophyta, Magnoliopsida, Fabales, Fabaceae. The record is from RefSeq and is a predicted model, not a curated record.